AUCUCGGGAACUGAGGGUAAUACACCAUAGGCCUCCGGUACUGGAAUGUCCGGAGACCCAAAGCUCCGGCGCGAUAGGAUGAGUCUGCGGAUGAUUAGCUAGUAGGCGGUGUAAUGGACCACCUAGGCUAUAAUCAUUAAGGGUCUUGAGAGAGAUAGCCCUGAGACGGAAUCUGAGACACUAUUCCGAGCCUUACGGGGUGCAGCAGGCGCGAAACCUUUGCAAUACACGAAAGUGUGACAAGGGGAUUCCAAGUGUGCAUAUACCAUAUGCACUUUUUCGAAGUUUAAAACGCUUCGGGAAUAAGGGGUGGGCAAGACUAGUGCCAGCCGCCGCGGUAAAACUAGCAUCUCGAGUGGCAGCCACAAUUACUGGGCUUAGAGCGUCCGUAGCUCGUUCAGAAAGUCCCCGGUGAAAUCCUAUGGCUUAACCAUAGGGCUUGCCAGGGAAACUCCUGGACUUGAAGGCAGGAGAGGUCGGGGGUACUUCUGGGGUAGGGGUGAAAUCCUAUAAUCCUGGAAGGACCAACAGUGGCGAAGGCGCCCGACAUGAAUGCGCUUGACAGUGAGGGACGAGAGCCAGGGUCGCGAAACGGAUUAGAUACCCGUGUAGUCCUGGCCGUAAACGAUGUUGACUAGGUGGGGCGUGACCUUAGCGGUCAUGCUAUGCCGAAGGGAAACCGUUAAGUCAACCGCCUGGGGAGUACGACCGCAAGGUUGAAACUUAAAGGAAUUGGCGGGGGAGCACUACAAGGGGUGGAAGCUGCGGUUUAAUUAGAUUCAACGCUGGACAUCUCACCGGAGGCGACAGCAGGAUGAAGGCCAGACUGAUGGUCUUGCCGAACACGCUG
Molecule: ribosomal RNA, 850 nt
Filed under: uncultured archaeon
Lineage: Archaea
Description: bacterial SSU rRNA
Rfam family: Archaeal small subunit ribosomal RNA
Source: RNAcentral